This 468-nucleotide ribosomal RNA is filed under the name uncultured bacterium. Its description in RNAcentral is "partial 16S ribosomal RNA". It matches the Rfam family "Bacterial small subunit ribosomal RNA", at positions 28 to 507 of the family's 1533-position model. The record is from RNAcentral.
GACGAACGCUGGCGGCGUGCUUAACACAUGCAAGUCGAACGGAAAGGCCCUGCUUUUGUGGGGUGCUCGAGUGGCGAACGGGUGAGUAACACGUGAGUAACCUGCCCUUGACUUUGGGAUAACUUCAGGAAACUGGGGCUAAUACCGGAUAGGAGCUCCUGCUGCAUGGUGGGGGUUGGAAAGUUUCGGCGGUUGGGGAUGGACUCGCGGCUUAUCAGCUUGUUGGUUGGGUAGUGGCUUACCAAGGCUUUGACGGGUAGCCGGCCUGAGAGGGUGACCGGCCACAUUGGGACUGAGAUACGGCCCAGACUCCUACGGGAGGCAGCAGUGGGGAAUAUUGCACAAUGGGCGGAAGCCGGAUGCAGCAACGCCGCGUGCGGGAUGACGGCCUUCGGGUUGUAAACCGCUUUCGCCUGUGACGAAGCGGGAGUGACGGUAAUGGGUAAAGAAGCACCGGCUAACUACGUG